This 189-nucleotide unclassified non-coding RNA is filed under the name uncultured fungus. Its description in RNAcentral is "partial contains 18S rRNA, ITS1, 5.8S rRNA, ITS2 and 28S rRNA". The record is from RNAcentral. Lineage: Eukaryota; Fungi.
AAGGAUCAUUACAGAGUUCAUGCCUGAAAAGGUAGACCUCCCACCCUAUGUUUAUUAUUACUUUGUUGCUUUGGCGAUGCGGCCUUCGGGUCAUCUCGGCUCGCCAUAGCCCUAACCGAACUCUUUUAUUAGUAUUGUCUGAGUCCUAUAUAAUAGUUAAAACUUUCAACAACGGAUCUCUUGGUUCUG